This 477-nucleotide ribosomal RNA is filed under the name Delftia acidovorans. RNAcentral's name for it is "bacterial SSU rRNA". It matches the Rfam family "Bacterial small subunit ribosomal RNA", at positions 61 to 538 of the family's 1533-position model. Lineage: Bacteria; Pseudomonadati; Pseudomonadota; Betaproteobacteria; Burkholderiales; Comamonadaceae. The record is from RNAcentral.
GUCGAACGGUAACAGGUCUUCGGACGCUGACGAGUGGCGAACGGGUGAGUAAUACAUCGGAACGUGCCCAGUCGUGGGGGAUAACUACUCGAAAGAGUAGCUAAUACCGCAUACGAUCUGAGGAUGAAAGCGGGGGACCUUCGGGCCUCGCGCGAUUGGAGCGGCCGAUGGCAGAUUAGGUAGUUGGUGGGAUAAAAGCUUACCAAGCCGACGAUCUGUAGCUGGUCUGAGAGGACGACCAGCCACACUGGGACUGAGACACGGCCCAGACUCCUACGGGAGGCAGCAGUGGGGAAUUUUGGACAAUGGGCGAAAGCCUGAUCCAGCAAUGCCGCGUGCAGGAUGAAGGCCUUCGGGUUGUAAACUGCUUUUGUACGGAACGAAAAAGCUUCUCCUAAUACGAGAGGCCCAUGACGGUACCGUAAGAAUAAGCACCGGCUAACUACGUGCCAGCAGCCGCGGUAAUACGUAUGCGAG